GCCGGGUUAGCUCAGUUGGUUAGAGCAUGGUGCUAACAAUGCCAAGUUCACAGGUUCAAUCCCUGCUCACUGCA
Pelecanus crispus (Dalmatian pelican) is the source of this 74-nucleotide non-coding RNA. The record is from Rfam. Lineage: Eukaryota; Metazoa; Chordata; Aves; Pelecaniformes; Pelecanidae.